ACAAAAGCAAUUGAGUGAAUGGAAUUAACCAAUUAGAAGUAUUCACAAAGAUAGUCAAAGUUGACAUUAAUGUUCAAUUCAGAAGAAGUAUUGUGAAAAUGAAGUUUGAAAAUCAAAGGCCUAAGGCCUAGGUUUCUAGUUUUUGAAAACAAGUGAAGCUGUUUUCACAAAAGUUUUCUGGUUUGGGUUAAGGAUGGAAACAUGGAUCAAG
RNAcentral lists this long non-coding RNA (211 nucleotides) under Lathyrus oleraceus (garden pea). RNAcentral's name for it is "Pisum sativum (pea) long non-coding RNA (PSAT_LNC025522)". The record is from RNAcentral. Lineage: Eukaryota; Viridiplantae; Streptophyta; Magnoliopsida; Fabales; Fabaceae.